This 406-nucleotide ribosomal RNA is filed under the name uncultured bacterium. Its description in RNAcentral is "partial 16S ribosomal RNA". It matches the Rfam family "Bacterial small subunit ribosomal RNA", at positions 30 to 526 of the family's 1533-position model. The record is from RNAcentral.
AUUGAACGCUGGCGGCAGGCCUAACACAUGCAAGUCGAACGAGUGGCGGACGGGUGAGUAAUGUCUGGGAAACUGCCCGAUGGAGGGGGAUAACUACUGGAAACGGUAGCUAAUCCCGCAUACCAUCAGAUGUGCCCUGAUGGGAUUAGCUAGUAAGUGGGGUAAUGGCUCACCUAGUCGACGAUCCCUAGCUGGUCUGAGAGGAGGACCAGCCACACUGGAACUGAGACACGGCCCAGACUCCGACGGGAGGCAGCAGUGGGGAAUAUUGCACAUUGGGCGCAAGCCUGAUGCAGCCAUGCCGCGUGUGUGAAGAAGGCCUUCGGGUUGUAAAGCCCUUUCAGCGAGGAGGCGUUACUCGCAGAAGAAGCACCGGCUAACUCCGUGCCAGCAGCCGCGGUAAUAC